UACGGAGGAUCCGAGCGUUAUCCGGAUUUAUUGGGUUUAAAGGGUGCUCAGGCGGGCCAUUAAGUCGGCGGUGAAAUUUUGCAGCUCAACUGUAAAAGUGCCAUUGAUACUGGUUUUCUUGAGUGUGGAUGAAGUAGGCGGAAUUUGUGGUGUAGCGGUGAAAUGCUUAGAUAUCACGAGGAACUCCGAUUGCGCAGGCAGCUUACUAAACUACUACUGACGCUCAGGCACGAAGGCGUUGGGAUCAAACAGGAUUAGAUACCCCGGUA
This 269-nucleotide ribosomal RNA is filed under the name uncultured prokaryote. Its description in RNAcentral is "partial 16S ribosomal RNA". It matches the Rfam family "Bacterial small subunit ribosomal RNA", at positions 524 to 792 of the family's 1533-position model. The record is from RNAcentral.